Molecule: RNA transcript, 2162 nt
Organism: Vicia villosa (hairy vetch)
Lineage: Eukaryota; Viridiplantae; Streptophyta; Magnoliopsida; Fabales; Fabaceae
Gene name: protein MAIN-LIKE 2-like
Exons: 4
Source: RefSeq, a predicted model, not a curated record
CAACAUCAACAAACCCAACAUCAAUUUCUUAAAGCCUUAACUUUCAUUCUAAACAACGACAUUGCUAACAAUGGGAGAAGAUCAUAGAGGAACACCUUCAAAUGUUGCAGCUUACGAUGCUGAUGAUAAUAAGAAUUUCCGAGUACACUCGCACUGCAUGAAACAACCACCUAGUGAUAGCAUAAUGCCAUAUUUGUCUCGAGCCGGUUUUGAUAUGGUCUCGCAAAUUACCGUAAAAAGUGUAGAUACUGCCCUUGUGCUUGCGUUGGUCGAGAGAUGGAGACCCGAAACACAUAUGUUCCAUCUUUCAAUCGGUGAAUGCACCGUAACAUUACAAGAUGUGAGAAUGUUAAUUGGGCUCCGCAUUGAUGGUAUGACUGUUAACGGCCAAACACAAGAGCUGGGUAAUGUGUAUAUGAGACACCUAGGAGUACAACCUCCCGAAAAUGCCAUAAGUGGAGGUUCAAUAAGGAUUACAUGGCUGGAUGGCAUGUUGGAACAAUUGAGAGCAAUACAACAACCAACUGAUGCGCAAAACAUGCUACACGCUAAAAUUUAUAUUGUACUACUUAUUGCAAAAAAAAUAUUUUCUGAUAAAAGUCAAAAUUUAUUGCAUUCAUCUUGGAUACCGUUAGUGGGAGACAUUGAUAAGUGCGGGACAUAUAGUUGGGGUUCUGCUUGUUUGGCUCAUCUAUACAUAAAUUUGUGUAGAACGGCCGGCAAAGAUGCAAGAGGAAUCGCAGGAUGUGCACUGCUACUUUAGUGUUGGGCAUUCUGGCGUAUACCGCACAUUGCUCCCAGAAGUCCUGUUCAACCAUCUUAUCCAUAUGGAAUAAGGUUUGCUCAACGAGGAAUGAAAUACAAACCAAAUCCUCAUGGAGAUUUAAUUGGUUACCGAAAUGCCUUUGAUCACAUGCUUCCUCAACAUUUUGUGUGGAGUCCAUAUCCCGACUACCCUGAUUGUGCGCUGGAAUAUGGGGAGGUGUGGAGUGCGAAAACAUAUAUCAUAUGUUUUCAUAUUGUGGAAAUGCAUCACAUAUAUCAUGUGUUUUCAUAUUGUGGAAAUGCAUCACACGGACAGGGUAAAACUCCAAUUUGGUUUUAAGCAAGACAUCCCAAUAGCACCAAGAUGUCUUGACGAGCACCACAAAAUGGAGAAGCAAAGUUUCUGGCAUAUCCAUUGGAAAAAUGCGAACGUUGAAGAGAUCGCAGAAUGGAGGAACAGAAGGUCACUUGUAUUAGUGGGUGACUAUGUGGAUCAAGAGAGGGGUUUUGCGCACAGUGACGAAUAUAUGCGUUGGUUUCGCAAUAUUCCUGAAAUUCCACUUUCUCAGGAACAUCUAUUGCUCGACCCCCGUCGUCGCCGGUAUGGCUCUUCCUCAACCCAACCAACAGUCCCUUCCUCCACCCGACCCACCGUCCAUUCCUCAACCCGACCAACCAUCACACCACAUACUUUACAACAAACUGCCCAAAUGAACCCCUCAAAAUUUUGGGCUCAAUCCUCAUCUUUUCUUCAACAAACAUAUAACCCAUUUCAAACCAAUCCACAACCUUAUACUCACACCCGUAACACUUUCCAAACCAUUCAACAACCUUAUAACCCCACCACAACCCCUCAAACAAGCUUCUACCACCAACAACAAUUCCAACCACAAUUUUCGACCACAAUUCAACCGUAGUCCAGUUCCUCCACCACAAUUUGAUUUCUCCAACCCAUCAUCUUCCCAACCAACCACCUACCAAUUAACAGUGAAGAUCUAUAUUUUCCGGACAUUUUUCCAACAAUGUCAGAAACUUACCAUAGUUCGUCACAUUCAAUCCCCAACUUCGGCCUCACCAAUGACCAACUUAUGGAAUUUCCAGCAUUGGGUGUCGAAGAUUUGAAUAUUGAUAUGGGCGGUACCUAUGCGCAACAUGUUGAGGAAGAUGAAGAGUUGUCUGAAGAUGAUACACCAUCUCCUCCUCCGCCUACGCAGACAAGAGAAAAAUCACCGGACCUAGGCAGAGGGAAGCGCACCAAAAAACAGACAUAUUGUCAUACUGGCAGCAAACAUGUGUUCCACAAAUGAUGUAUUUGUAAUCGUAUUUUUAUUAAUAUUAAUAAUAUGGUUUUUUCUUUAAUCUCCAUUUUAAUUAUGUCAUAAAUAAAUAAAUUAUAA